GAUGAAGAACGUAGCGAAAUGCGAUAAGUAAUGUGAAUUGCAGAAUUCAGUGAAUCAUCGACUCUUUGAACGCACAUUGCGCCCGCCAGUAUUCUGGCGGGCAUGCCUGUUCGAGCGUCAUUUCAACCAUCAAGCCCCAGGCUUGUGUUGGGGACCUGCGGCUGCCGCAGGCCCUGAAAACCAGUGGCGGGCUCGCUGUCACACCGGGCGUAGUAGAUUUUAUCUCGCUCUGGGCGUGCUGCGGGUUCCGGCCGUUAAAAAACCCUUUUAACCCAAGGUUGACCUCGGAUCAGGUAGGAAUACCCGCUGAACUUAAGCAUAUCAAUAAGCGGAGGA
This 336-nucleotide unclassified non-coding RNA is filed under the name soil metagenome. Its description in RNAcentral is "partial contains 5.8S ribosomal RNA, internal transcribed spacer 2, and large subunit ribosomal RNA". The stretch from base 1 to 120 matches the Rfam family "5.8S ribosomal RNA", at positions 35 to 154 of the family's 154-position model. The record is from RNAcentral.